RNAcentral lists this ribosomal RNA (254 nucleotides) under uncultured bacterium. RNAcentral describes it as "partial 16S ribosomal RNA". It matches the Rfam family "Bacterial small subunit ribosomal RNA", at positions 524 to 776 of the family's 1533-position model. The record is from RNAcentral.
UACGUAGGGACCAAGCGUUGUUCGGAUUUACUGGGCGUAAAGGGCGCGUAGGCGGCAAUUCAAGUCACUUGUGAAAUCUCCGGGCUUAACUCGGAACGGUCAAGUGAUACUGCUUUGCUAGAGUGCGGAAGGGGCAAUCGGAAUUCUCGGUGUAGCGGUGAAAUGCGUAGAUAUCGAGGGGAACACCUGAGGUGAAGACGGGUUGCUGGGCCGACACUGACGCUGACAGCGCGAAAGCCAGGGGAGCAAACGGG